UGGAAGCAGAGAAGGGAAAGGAAAGAGGAGGAUGGAAGGAAAAGGGAAAGGUGGCAAGAGAAAGAAAAAGGAGAGAGGGAAAGGAGAGGAGAAAAGGGGAAAUCUAGGGAGGAAGAAAGGAGGAGGAGGAGCCGAGGAGUGUAGGGAGGGCCCAGCUGGGAGGCAGAGCUGAGACACAGGAGGAGCCCUGAAUGCUGUCUGCUCAGCCCCCUCCCAUCUCCUGGCACCCACCGAGAUCCGGCCACUGCCCGGCAGGCCCUUCUCUAGCCUGUUUCCCAGAGAAGCUGACCGGGAGGGUCCUGAGGCUCUACAACAAACAUAGGAGUACAGAGCUGGGUUCUGGUCUUACCUUUGACCCAGCGGAUGAUCAGGGAGGUCCCUCCUCGCUCUGGGCCUACAAGGUUCUCAUUUCUUCAAUCAAUAUCAACCUUUUUGAAGUGCCUACUAUGUGCCAGGGGACACAGUGGGUGCAGGGCUGAACCUGGAGUGAGGAAGACUCAGAUUCCCAAGUUCAAAUCCAGCCUCGGACACUCGCUGGCUGUGGGAUGCUGGGCGAGCCACUUCACCUCGUCUGCCUCAGUUUCCCCAUCCGUAAAAUGAGUCGGAGAAGGCCAUGGCAAAGCACUCCGGUAUCUCUGCCAGGAAAACCCCAAAUGGAGUCACCAAGAGUCGGGCCUGACUGAACAGCAGCGGGAGUUACGUACGGAGCCCGAUGCUAAGUGCCGGGAAUAUAAACUCGAAGAAAGAAAGGCGGUUCCUUCUCCAACUCCAGGGAGAGCCGGUGGCAGACAUUUUCCUUCCCUAGAGGAAGGAAAUACCUGGAAACACCUGCUCAGGGAAGCCUGCCCGGAUUGGUCCUCCCAGCUGGCUACCUGUCUCAUUGGCUGCCCUCGCACGGAGGGGCCCCUGCCUCCCAACCUCCCUCAAGGGGCAGCCCUGCCCCCUGCACUGCCCGGCCCUCCCACACCCACAGCCCGGGAUGCACAUGCCUCAAGGCUGAGCUCACACACACAUGCCCGGCAGAGCCGGGGCACAGCCGCACCCAGCCCUUCCGAGAGUGAGUCAGGCCUGCGGGUGCCGACGGGCUCCAGCUUAGCCCCGGGCAGUGCGGGCGGUGGGCACCCAGGACCCUGCCAGCCCCGGAGAGCGCUCUCAGACGUGCAGUCUCGUGUUCCCGGCCCCCCCGCUCGGGGAGCGGGCACGGGCCCAGGCUGUCGGAAGCAGGGUCUCCCCCAGAACGGGGCUCCCCCGGCGCAGCUUCUCUCCCUGGCACACCCUGGGCCAGACAUCAGGGAGGGAGCCCCUCCGAAACAAGACCAUAUUUCUAAAUCGAUCGGAAAGUAAACACAAGAUGGGAGAGCAACUGGUUUCUUGGGAAACAUAGCAAGAAGUGGGGGAGGAAGGGGGAGCCGGGCUGCAUGAAUAAGUCCCCGGCCCCCGACGUGGCCAGCUCUUCCCACGCCCCCUCCCCUUCUUCAGAGGCUCUCCCCCCGCCUUGGGACCCGGCCCGGGGCUGGCAACCUGUGCUUGUGCCUAAUGACACUCGGGACAAAUGCACAUGCAUCUCCUGGGCCUCCUUUUAGGGAGCUGCAACCCCUCACUUUCAUCCUGGGGUCAUGAGUUAGGGCCAGUCCCGUGCCCCUCUUCUUGGCCCAAGAUACUGGGAUACUGAGGAGCCCUCAGCCCUUCCAAACCGAUGAGGGGAGGGGCACCAAGGGGGGACCUGCUGCCUGGACUCCGGAUGCCCGGUCCCUUGAAUCUGAGACCUAAGGGAGAGCCGAGGCUUCUGGGGGAAAGGGGUGGGGAAACAUCUUUCCCUGUGGCUGGGGUCGGGAGGACAGGAAGUGCCAUAAAUUCCAGCCUCCAAUCAGACUCACCCAGGCCAUAUGAGGAUAGACUCCUGGGAAAUCUCCACUAGCCAGCCGCCCUGUGCGGCCAUCGGGAUUCAGAAGUCUUUUUGUCCCUUGUUUCUUUCUCCCUCCCUCCUGCUCCCCGAUACCUGGCACCCGGGGGUGGGGUUGAGCCCGGGGCCAGAGACUUUCAGGGUGUGGACGCAGGACAGAAAUGGUCCCCACAAUCCCCGGCGGUAGAGAAUGACGUCUUCCGGAGACUUCCCACCUGGGCCAGGUGCCACGGGAGUCAAGUCUUGGCCCUGGUCCUCCACAGGUGACAGAAGGCACAAGGAAGCCAGACAGCCAAAGCCCUCUGAGAUGCCGGCUCCGAGGGACGAUCUCACAUCUCUCAGAUUGGCUGAGACGACAGGAAAAGAUAAUGCGGAAGGUUGGAGGGGAUAUGGGGAAACUGGGACACUGACCCAUUGUUGGUGGAGUUGUGAAUGAAUCCAGCCAUUCUGGAGAGCGAUUUGGAACUAUGCACAAAAAGUUAUCCAACUGUGCAUCCCCUUUGACCCAGCAGUGUUUCUACUAGGUUCAUAUCUCAAAAAGAUCAUAAAAGAGGGAAAAGGCCCCACAUGUGCAGAAAUGUUUAUGGCAGCCCUUUUUACAGUGGCCAGAAACUGGAAACUGAAUGGAUGCCCAUCCAUUGGAGAAUGGCUGAAUAAAUUGUGGUAUAUAAGAAUGUUGUGGAAUAUUAUUGUUGUGUAAGAAACAAUCAGCAGGAUGAAUACAGAGAGGCUUGGAGAGACUGACAAGAACUGAUGCUGAGUGAAAUGCACAGAACCAGGAGAACAUUGUACACAGUAACAACAAGACUAUCAUGAUCAACUAGGAUAGACUUGGUUCUUCUCAGCAAUUGAGUGAUCCCAGACACUCCCAAUAAACUUUGGAUAGAAAAUGUCAUCUGCACGCAGAGGGAAAUCUAUGAAGAAUGAAUGUGGGUUGAAGCAUACUAUUUGCACCUUUUUUUCCCCCUCUUCUCAUGGUUUUUCCCUUUUGUCCUGAUUUUUCUCUCCCAACAUGACUCAUAUGGAAAUAUGUAAAAAGUGAAUUUACAAGUAUAAUCUGAAAAAUUAAAUUAAAAAGCCCAAAAACCUAAUGUCUAGGCAAGCAGGGUGACCCAGUGGGAGAGCACAUAGGGCUAAGCCCAAAGGCUUCCCCAUCAGUCUGGCUGCCCACAGAGGAGCCUCACAAAGGCUGAGAUGCAGGGCUCUGAAGGAGGAGAAGCUGGAAAAGACCCAGAGGGAGCACCUGGGAGCUGACAAACGUGGGCCAGGAUGUCCUCUGGAUCCUUAUGUACUAUACUAUUCUACAAUUUCAGCUGUCCAAAGGACAUGUGGAAAUCCUUCUUUUCCGAGCUUUGGGCCCAUAUCUCCUUCUAGUUCAAUCCCCAUGACAUCACAGUCCAGAGGACAGAAGAAUUCCAGACUGAGUCAUGUUGUUCAAAUCUAGCUUUGAUCUUAGACACGGUGACACCUGUGACAUGAGCAAGGGCCUCUGAAUGAGAAGGGACCUUAGAAAGUGGCUGGCUGGCUCAGGGAGGGGAAGGCCCUUAUCCAGGGUCACACCGCUAGUAAAUAGCAGAGUUAAAAUUAAAACUCAACUUGCC
Antechinus flavipes (yellow-footed antechinus) is the source of this 3504-nucleotide long non-coding RNA. RefSeq lists it as uncharacterized. NCBI's taxonomy places the organism in Eukaryota, Metazoa, Chordata, Mammalia, Dasyuromorphia, Dasyuridae. The transcript is spliced from 2 exons. The record is from RefSeq and is a predicted model, not a curated record.